CCUUCCCUCCCGGCUCUCAGAGGCAAUGGUUAGAUUCAGACGCUGCUGUCUUACCAAACCCUUCUCCCCACUAGCUCCUGCUCCAUCUUCCUCCCAACACACCAACGGUGGCUUGUCUCACGGCUGCACGUCUGUCCAGCGUCUGCUGUCAUCAGAGUUGACUCAACUUUCCCCCCAAACUCCGCGCUCCACCGUUGCCAUGGCAGCACUGAACCCACACGGAGGGAAAUGACAGCAGCUAUUUUUAUUGCUGCGUGGCAGCAUUGCCUUCCCCUCAGUCUGGAGCCAGUAAGAGCUUGGAGCACGUCUGAGGUUUGGGUGCCAGACGCUCGGCUAACUGCUCCACCACGUACGCGUGAUGCUCAUUAGACGUAACAUCAUCAUCCCCAUGGUGAGACUCGUCACACGGAUCCACAUCAGGUUAGCCUCACUUUGCUCACAGUCAAGACGACGCGUCUCUUGCUCAAACUCUCUCAUGCUUUUAUCUUGAAAGGGAGUUUUCAGCAGAGGAAGCGUGUGGAGCUUGUUGUCCAGGAAAAGCUUUGAUUCACUGAAAUGACUCACGGCUCACCAUCAUUCUGAUUCAUCUGUUUGAAUCCCCUUUGGUUUCUUGCGAGGGACAGCGAUGGGCGGGGCUUACCAGAUGCAGGCCAGCCAGUGGGCGGCCAGGCCGAACACACAGACCAGCAGCACCAGCACCGCCGCUCCGUACUCAAUGUAGUGAUCCAGUUUCCGAGCCACCCGGCCCAGACGCAGGAGUCGGACCACCUUCAGGGAGCUGAAGAGGCUGCUGAUGCCCUGAGGAGAGAGAGAGAGAGAGCAGUCACACGACCAUCAGAUCCAUCAGCCCUCACACGUUCGUGUGGAGGUCUGUCUCUUCCCAGGUCACAAACCCGCCAUCGCCUCUGCUGUUAUGGCAGAGAGCAGAGGAAGGUCCACGUCACAAACCAGACCCUCUUCUGUCUACAUCCAGUCCAGGAGCUGAGGACCAGCUCAGCUCUCGCUCAGCUCCUAACGUUGGUGACAGGAAAUGCACUGGUGCUCCCUGAUCCAGAGCCAAAGACGCUGAGAGGGAACUGUGUGGGGCCGCCUCGGAGGGAAGCCUGAGACGGGCCGGUCUUCAGAGGCCCAACAUCAGAGGUCUCCUGGUCCUGCCAUGACACGGGGUCACAGGUUCAAGCCUGUGCUUGGAGCGAGAGUCUGGGACACCCUGGAGCUUCAGCUUCAGACCAGGACUCCCACACCUGCAGGCUCCAGCGAAGCCUGGUUGGAUGGGCUUCCGCCGGGAUUCAAACCCAGGACCUUCAUGCUGCGAGGCUGCAGCGCUACCCACUGCUCCUCCAAGCUGUGAGCUCGGGGGGGCACGACUCCAGUGGAGAGAAGGCUUCACAGAAGAGGAGGUUGAGGAUGUUCAUUAUCCACCCGGCCUCUGCUGAUCUGUUGCUGGGUCAUAACAAGGUUUAUUACACGUCAUAAGGUGUAGGUGUAGGUCAUAAGUUGGAAGGAAUGAUCCCACCUGCGCUCACUUUAAAAUCCCCCGUCUCUAUAACCAGAUGAAGUCAGAAGCUUCUUCUUCUGCGAGGCCUCGCCAGCGCAUCAUGACGUGUCAUGGAGGCACUCCAGAUGAGAGCACUCGGCUGGGUGGGACUCACUGCCCGAGUGUCUCCAGCCCAGCAGCAGCAGCAGGUGUCACAUGACAGCAGCUGCUGAAGCGGUGAAAGACUAGACCCAGUCAGAACUGCAGGAGCAGCGUUUGGACCUGCUGACCAACCAGCGCUACUUUUCCUGAACAGGUCCGUCACACCUUUGAAUGGCGCUGCCUCCGCGCACACGCUAACACACACACACGCGCUGACACACACACACACUAACACACACACACGCUGACACACACACACAGACACACACACGCUGACACACACACACACACACACACACACAGACACACACACACACUAACACACACACACAUGCACACACACACUAACACACACACAUGCACACACACUGACAUGCACACACACUAACACACACACACGCUGACACACACACGCUGACACACACACAGACACACACACACAGACACUAACACACACACGCUGACACACACACACACUGACACGCACACACACACAGACACACACACACACAGACACACACACGCUAACACACAGACACACACACACACGCUGACACACACACACACUGACACACACACGCACACACACUGACACGCACACACACUAACACACACACACAUGCUGACACACACACAGACACGCACACACACACACGCUGACACACACACACCCAGGCUUCGGUGUGAUAGCUGCACUGCUUAACGCCAACACAGCAUUUUUACAGUCAGAGCCGUGCACACACUCCGGGGGGAGACGUGGCACGGUGAGGCUCACACACGCGCGUGUGCGAUGCAUCAAUGUAAUGAAAGUGCAGGAGCCAGAGGCUCCAUUUAAUCAAUGUGCCAAGUGUGUGUGUGUGUGAUUGUGUGUGUGAGUGUGUGAGGUUGUGUUUGCAGGCAGGAACAUGGAUCACGUCCAACAACAUGCUGCGCCGUCGAGCGCCGUGUUUCCGCUCCCCACUUAUCGAUACCUGCGUCCUGCUCAGGAAAUUAGCAUGGAGACCUUCUGUCCACCGAUUUAGAGUUUGUUGUUUGUUUACCAAGACGUGACGCCAGCAGCAGUUUGUUCCUGACUUUCCUCAAGGUGAAGUGAGUCUGACGGCAGUGUGGGGGCGGAGCCACAAGUGUGGAGAGGCGGGGACACGCAUCAAUUCACCUGCGGAUGUUUUCAGACGAAUCUGAGCACAAAGUCAGGGAAGCAGCACGAGACAGCACUCCAAACUACAGAAACUCCUCUCUAAAUCCAAACUAUUGUUUGUGUUUGUUUGGUUUACCUGCUCGCCGUGACAGAAAUGAGCGUUUAAAAAUGUCAUUUUUCAGCCUGAUCGGCCCCAAUUUCUUCACGAGUUCAGCUUAAACAAAGAAUGCGUAGAAAGAGAAACAGUAAACACUUUGGCCAGAUUCGUCCGCAGCUGUUUUCUAUUGAAAAGUGACUGGUCUGUGGAGGAGGAGCUCAACGCUUGGUCUGAUCGCAGCCCUGUUGGCAAAUCCACGAGAAUGUUGGGACUAUCCGAGCACAUGCAGCAGGAACAGGACCGUCACAGUCACGGGUGCAUUAGCCACGGCUAUGGUUAGCGACUGAGCGUGUUCUCCAGACGGUGCACACCUGAGUCAGGUGUCCGCCCUGCCGCCAGCCGCUGGUGGUUUGGGGGCAUCAGCCCUGUGUUGGUUCAGUGCCUUGAAAGUGUUGCAACGACGUGGCGGUCCUGUGAUGGCUAAUUAUAGCGCCGUUUCAAACGAGCACAAUCUGCUGAUGCAAAACAACUCCAGACCAAACAGCGCCAGCAGCUGAUCCGCGCCACAAACUUAGAACAACCACUGCUUUAGCUCUGGUGUUGCCAUGGUGACGGCUCCUGCUCAACAUCAUCCCAGCCCAAAGAUGCCGACACCUGAAGCGGCUGCAGAUCUGAAAACAAUCCUGGUUCGGACCCACUCCACCCGCUCUCUGCACAGGGACCCCUCCUGGGUCACACAUCAAUCCCGACGUGCAGGGAGAACAAGUGGGUGGAGCUUUCUCUGCUCCCCCUGCGUCAGCUGUGUGUGUGUGUGUGUUGGCUGGCUGUCCAGGGUGUCCCACCCCUCCCCCCUGCUCGAGUAGUCUGACUCGCUUCCACUGAAUUCCUGAUCAUGGAGGAGCAGCAGGCAGCAGAAGACGAGUCCAAUCUUUCCUGAGCAGGACCACAGAGCUGGUACCGAGCUUCAGAACCACACGUGCUUCAUUUCGCCGCUGCUCCGGCUCACACUCACAAAUCGAUGAUAUACUGGCGGACAAAUGAGCCGGGUCAGCGGGCUGGCCACUGUACCGCUGGCUGUCUCUCCUUGGUCGACUCUGAAGCACCUGUUUCACCAGCCAAGGCGGAGAAGUUCCCCUCCUCCGCCUCCAAUCCCACACACACACCAGCUCAGAUGCGACCAUCGUCCAGGAGAGCAAGCAGCUGGGUGGACCUCAGCUGGAGCCACUCACCUCGUCCACGUUUUCGAAGGCGUUGAUGACAUCAUAGGGCAGGCAGGACAGCAGGUCGAUGACAAACCAGGUCUUCAGGUAGUUCAUCCGGAUCAGCUUGGGGUCGGAGAUGACCUCGCCCGCCGGGCCCACGAAGGUGGUGUGGAAGUUGAGAACGAUGUCCACCAGGAAGAUGACGUCCACGAUGCUGUCCACCACCAGCCACGUCACGUUGUUCUGCUUGGUCUUGAAGGAGACGUUGUAGGGGACCAUGAUGGCCGUGUAGAAGGUGAGGAUGAGGAUGACCCAGUCCCACGUGGUCUUGAAGAGGCAGUAGUGCAGGAUGAUGUGGGGUGGGGUCUUUGGGGUCUCCUGCUUGUACUGAGGUAGGAUGUCUGAGCCCAGCUGCAGGACCUGCCGGGAGACAGUGGCUCAGUGGACUCGACACCAUGGCCCCGGCCGGACCGCGUGACAGGGAGAGAGAACCGGAACCUCUGUCGUAAUGUUAGUGAUGACUGAGAACUUCCUCAAAACACUGUAUCAGAUCAGCUUUGUCCAGGACCCCCGUUCUAACCAGUCCCCAGCAGGCAGUGGAGACCUCAAGAGGAGGCUCUGCCCUCCUUCUUGGUGUCAGGGUCCAGGUCGCUCUGCAGGCUGGACAGAGUGAGGAGGAGGUUCUCUCGUGUCUUCGCAGAGCGCUCGACACAUGGGUCCUCCGAGCUCCCCAUCCAUC
Molecule: long non-coding RNA, 4815 nt
Organism: Synchiropus splendidus (mandarinfish)
Lineage: Eukaryota; Metazoa; Chordata; Actinopteri; Syngnathiformes; Callionymidae
Exons: 3
Source: RefSeq, a predicted model, not a curated record